RNAcentral lists this long non-coding RNA (390 nucleotides) under Vigna radiata. Its description in RNAcentral is "long non-coding RNA (VRAD_LNC010111)". The record is from RNAcentral. Lineage: Eukaryota; Viridiplantae; Streptophyta; Magnoliopsida; Fabales; Fabaceae.
GAAAAUGUUUGAUCAAGAGAAAAGGCUACGAGCUUCAUUCCUAUACAUAUGACUUAAGCAACGUUGCUUCCAAGUUUGCUUCAAAAAGGCCUUGUCUCUAAUUGUUACAUGAAGCCUUUAGACUCUCAAUACUUACGAUACGAAAGGUAUUUACCGCAAAGAGGCUAUCGAUCAUUCCACCAAAAAUGUCUGUUGUCAAGUGCAAAGACAAGUUUUGAUCGGUUCAGAAUUAUUAAAGUGUAAAGAAAGUCAACCCUACACUAAGGCAAGGCUUGAGAAUGUCUAUACAGAUGCUAUGAAACAAUGAUGCGGGCUUUAGAACCACAUAAGAAAACAUAAGCCAUCGUACAAGUGAUUUUGAUGUUGUGAAAUAUAUUGCCAAGAGAUCUG